Molecule: microRNA precursor, 85 nt
Filed under: Bombyx mori (domestic silkworm)
Lineage: Eukaryota; Metazoa; Arthropoda; Insecta; Lepidoptera; Bombycidae
Description: mir-2807 microRNA precursor family
Rfam family: mir-2807 microRNA precursor family
Source: Rfam by way of RNAcentral
ACAAUACUAUAUUUGUAUGGAAUUGGAUCGUUUGCGUACGUUUGCCGCUAGGGACGCUGUUUCAACUGCAUACAAAAUUGGGUUA